Molecule: ribosomal RNA, 799 nt
Filed under: uncultured Glomeromycotina
Lineage: Eukaryota; Fungi; Glomeromycota
Description: SSU rRNA
Rfam family: Eukaryotic small subunit ribosomal RNA
Source: RNAcentral
AUCAACUUUCGAUGGUAGGAUAGAGGCCUACCAUGGUGGUAACGGGUAACGGGGUGUUAGGGCACGACACCGGAGAGGGAGCCUGAGAAACGGCUACCACAUCCAAGGAUGGCAGCAGGCGCGCAAAUUACCCAAUCCCGACACGGGGAGGUAGUGACAAUAAAUAACAAUACGGGGUUCUUUAGGAUCUCGUAAUUGGAAUGAGUACAAUUUAAAUCUCUUAACGAGGAACAAUUGGAGGGCAAGUCUGGUGCCAGCAGCCGCGGUAAUUCCAGCUCCAAUAGCGUAUAUUAAAGUUGUUGCAGUUAAAAAGCUCGUAGUUGAAUUUCGGGGUUAGUAGGUUGGUCAUGCCUCUGGUAUGUACUGAUCUUACUGAUUCCUCCCUCUUGACGAACUGUAAUGUCAUUAAUUUGGUGUUGCAGGAAAUCAGGACUGUUACUUUGAAAAAAUUAGAGUGUUUAAAGCAGGCUUAGGCUUGAAUACAUUAGCAUGGAAUAAUGAAAUAGGACGUUUGAACCUAUUUUGUUGGUUUCUAGGAUCGACGUAAUGAUUAAUAGGGAUAGUUGGGGGCAUUAGUAUUCAAUUGUCAGAGGUGAAAUUCUUGGAUUUAUUGAAGACUAACUACUGCGAAAGCAUUUGCCAAGGAUGUUUUCAUUAAUCAAGAACGAAAGUUAGGGGAUCGAAGACGAUCAGAUACCGUCGUAGUCUUAACCAUAAACUAUGCCGACUAGGGAUCGGAUGAUGUUAAUUUUUUAAUGACUCAUUCGGCGCCUUACGGGAAACCAAAGUGUUUGGGUUC